AGAACGAACGCUGGCGGCAUGCCUAACACAUGCAAGUCGAACGAGACCUUCGGGUCUAGUGGCGCACGGGUGCGUAACGCGUGGGAAUCUGCCCUUGGGUUCGGGAUAACAGUUGGAAACGACUGCUAAUACCGGAUGAUGACUUCGGUCCAAAGAUUUAUCGCCCAGGGAUGAGCCCGCGUAGGAUUAGCUAGUUGGUGAGGUAAAAGCUCACCAAGGCGACGAUCCUUAGCUGGUCUGAGAGGAUGAUCAGCCACGACUGGGACUGAGACACGG
Molecule: ribosomal RNA, 276 nt
Filed under: uncultured soil bacterium
Lineage: Bacteria
Description: partial 16S ribosomal RNA
Rfam family: Bacterial small subunit ribosomal RNA
Source: RNAcentral